Molecule: ribosomal RNA, 492 nt
Filed under: uncultured bacterium
Lineage: Bacteria
Description: partial 16S ribosomal RNA
Rfam family: Bacterial small subunit ribosomal RNA
Source: RNAcentral
AGUGAACGCUGGCGGUAGACCUAACACAUGCAAGUCGAACGGCAGCACAGUAAGAGCUUGCUCUUACGGGUGGCGAGUGGCGGACGGGUGAGGAAUACAUCGGAAUCUACUUUUUCGUGGGGGAUAACGUAGGGAAACUUACGCUAAUACCGCAUACGACCUACGGGUGAAAGCAGGGGAUCUUCGGACCUUGCGCGAUUGAAUGAGCCGAUGUCGGAUUAGCUAGUUGGCGGGGUAAAGGCCCACCAAGGCGACGAUCCGUAGCUGGUCUGAGAGGAUGAUCAGCCACACUGGAACUGAGACACGGUCCAGACUCCUACGGGAGGCAGCAGUGGGGAAUAUUGGACAAUGGGCGCAAGCCUGAUCCAGCCAUACCGCGUGGGUGAAGAAGGCCUUCGGGUUGUAAAGCCCUUUUGUUGGGAAAGAAAAGCAGCAGGUUAACACCCCGCUGUUCUGACGGUACCCAAAGAAUAAGCACCGGCUAACUUCGUG